GAUGAACGCUGGCGGCGUGCCUAAUACAUGCAAGUCGAGCGAACGGACGAGAAGCUUGCUUCUCUGAUGUUAGCGGCGGACGGGUGAGUAACACGUGGAUAACCUACCUAUAAGACUGGGAUAACUUCGGGAAACCGGAGCUAAUACCGGAUAAUAUUUUGAACCGCAUGGUUCAAAAGUGAAAGACGGUCUUGCUGUCACUUAUAGAUGGAUCCGCGCUGCAUUAGCUAGUUGGUAAGGUAACGGCUUACCAAGGCAACGAUGCAUAGCCGACCUGAGAGGGGGAUCGGCCACAGUGGAACUGAGACACGGUACAGAGUCCUACGGAAGGCAGCAGUAGGGAAUCGUCGGCAAUGGGCGAAAGCCUGACGGAGCAACGCAGCGUGAGUGAUGAAGGUCUUCGGAUCGUAAAACUCUGUUAUUAGGGAAGACCAUAUGUGUAAGUAACUGUGCACAUCUUGACGGUACCGAAUCAGAAAGCCACGGCUAACUACGU
RNAcentral lists this ribosomal RNA (496 nucleotides) under uncultured bacterium. RNAcentral's name for it is "partial 16S ribosomal RNA". It matches the Rfam family "Bacterial small subunit ribosomal RNA", at positions 28 to 506 of the family's 1533-position model. The record is from RNAcentral.